AGCUCCAGUAGCGUAUAUUAAAGUUGUUGCAGUUAAAAAGCUCGUAGUUGGAUUUCUGGCAUGCAUCCUGGCCCGGCCGACUCUGUCGCGCUGAGUGUUGGUGUAUUGUUUGCCAUCCUUCUAGAAACCGGCCGCCCUCUUCACUGAGGGUGGAGCCCUGGAAUCUAGAUCUUUUACUUUGAAAAAAUUAGAGUGUUCAAAGCAGGCUUGCGCUAUGAAUACAUUAGCAUGGAAUAAUAAUUUAGGACUUCGGUUCUAUUUGUUGGUUCUAGAGUCGAAGUAAUGAUUGAUAGGGAUAGUUGGGGGUGCUAGUAUUUGGCGGCCAGAGGUGAAAUUCUCGGAUUCGCUAAAGACUAACUUAUGCGAAAGCAUUCACCAAGGAUGUCUUCU
RNAcentral lists this ribosomal RNA (390 nucleotides) under uncultured eukaryote. RNAcentral's name for it is "SSU rRNA". It matches the Rfam family "Eukaryotic small subunit ribosomal RNA", at positions 587 to 972 of the family's 1831-position model. The record is from RNAcentral.